AGCGAACGCUGGCGGCCGGCCUAACACAUGUAAGUCGAACGGCUCUUCGGAGCAGUGGCGGACGGGUGAGUAACGCGUGGGAACGUGCCCUUUGGUUCGGAACAACACAGGGAAACUUGUGCUAAUACCGGAUGUGCCCUUCGGGGGAAAGAUUUAUCGCCAUUGGAGCGGCCCGCGUUGGAUUAGGUAGUUGGUGGGGUAAAGGCCCACCAAGCCUACGAUCCAUAGCUGGUCUGAGAGGAUGAUCAGCCACACAGGGACUGAGACACGGCCCGGACUACGACGGGAGGCAGCAGUGGGGAAUCUUGAGCAAUGGGCGGAAGGCUCAGGGAGCCAUGCGGGGUGAAUGAUGAAGGUCUUAGGAUUGGUCAAUUCUUGCACUGGGGAAGAUAAUGGCGGUAACCGUCGCAGAAGCCCCGACUAACAUCGUGCCAGCAGCCGCAGUAA
Molecule: ribosomal RNA, 447 nt
Filed under: uncultured bacterium
Lineage: Bacteria
Description: partial 16S ribosomal RNA
Rfam family: Bacterial small subunit ribosomal RNA
Source: RNAcentral